AAAGAAUUAGUUAAAAUAUAACAUAAGUAUGUCAAAUUUAAAUUAUUAAUAAGUAAUAUUCUUUU
Molecule: transfer RNA, 65 nt
Filed under: Thitarodes sp. XK-2016
Lineage: Eukaryota; Metazoa; Arthropoda; Insecta; Lepidoptera; Hepialidae
Also listed under: 1 other name
Description: tRNA-Asp
Source: RNAcentral